This 443-nucleotide ribosomal RNA is filed under the name uncultured bacterium. Its description in RNAcentral is "bacterial SSU rRNA". It matches the Rfam family "Bacterial small subunit ribosomal RNA", at positions 28 to 454 of the family's 1533-position model. The record is from RNAcentral.
GAUGAACGCUGGCGGCGUGCUUAACACAUGCAAGUCGAACGGGGGACAAUUUAAAGAAGCUUCGGCAGAUUUAGCUUGUUCCUAGUGGCGGACGGGUGAGUAACGCGUGGGUAACCUGCCUCACACUGGGGGAUAACAGUCAGAAAUGACUGCUAAUACCGCAUAAGCGCACAGAGCUGCAUGGCUCAGUGUGAAAAACUCCGGUGGUGUGAGAUGGACCCGCGUUGGAUUAGCCAGUUGGCAGGGUAACGGCCUACCAAAGCGACGAUCCAUAGCCGGCCUGAGAGGGUGGACGGCCACAUUGGGACUGAGACACGGCCCAGACUCCUACGGGAGGCAGCAGUGGGGAAUAUUGCACAAUGGGGGAAACCCUGAUGCAGCGACGCCGCGUGAAGGAAGAAGUAUCUCGGUAUGUAAACUUCUAUCAGCAGGGAAGAAAAUGA